Molecule: ribosomal RNA, 460 nt
Filed under: uncultured bacterium
Lineage: Bacteria
Description: partial 16S ribosomal RNA
Rfam family: Bacterial small subunit ribosomal RNA
Source: RNAcentral
CCUACGGGAGGCAGCAGUGAGGAAUAUUGGUCAAUGGACGAGAGUCUGAACCAGCCAAGUAGCGUGAAGGAUGACUGCCCUAUGGUUUGUAAACUUCUUUUAUAAAGGAAUAAAACGAGGCACGUGUGCCUUUUUGCAUGUACUUUAUGAAUAAGGAUCGGCUAACUCCGUGCCAGCAGCCGCGGUAAUACGGAGGAUCCGAGCGUUAUCCGGAUUUAUUGGGUUUAAAGGGAGCGUAGAUGGGUUGUUAAGUCAGUUGUGAAAGUUUGCGGCUCAACCGUAAAAUUGCAAUUGAUACUGGCAGUCUUGAGUACAGUUGAGGUAGGCGGAAUUCGUGGUGUAGCGGUGAAAUGCGUAGAUAUAACGAAGAACCCCGAUUGCGAAGGCAGCUUACUAAACUGUGACUGACAUUGAUGCUCGAAAGUGUGGGUAGCAAACAGGAUUAGAUACCCUGGUAGUC